Molecule: ribosomal RNA, 398 nt
Filed under: uncultured bacterium
Lineage: Bacteria
Description: partial 16S ribosomal RNA
Rfam family: Bacterial small subunit ribosomal RNA
Source: RNAcentral
AUACGUAGGGUGCGAGCGUUGUCCGGAAUUACUGGGCGUAAAGAGCUCGUAGGUGGUUUGUCGCGUCGUCUGUGAAAUUCCGGGGCUUAACUCCGGGCGUGCAGGCGAUACGGGCAUAACUUGAGUACUGUAGGGGAGACUGGAAUUCCUGGUGUAGCGGUGAAAUGCGCAGAUAUCAGGAGGAACACCGGUGGCGAAGGCGGGUCUCUGGGCAGAAACUGACGCUGAGGAGCGAAAGCAUGGGUAUGGAACAGGAUUAUAUACCCUGGUAGUCCAUGCCGUAAACGGUGGGCGCUAGGUGUAGGGGUCUUCCACGACUUCUGUGCCGUAGCUAACACAUUAAGCGCCCCGCCUGGGGAGUACGGCCGCAAGGCUAAAACUCAAAGGAAUUGACGGGG